UUUUUGACAUAUUCUACUUAAAAUAUUUUUACAUAGUACAAAACUAUAGAUCAUACUCCCCAAAACGGCAAUACACAGAGAAUACUUCUUUUGCUCGGUUGAUUAGUUCGAUCUAAAAUGGUUGAUGACUCCGAUCUAGAAUGCUACCUUUUGAUUUUAAUUUUGCUCUUAAACUUUGGGAUUUCUUCAACGAUUAUUUCGACGGUGACAAAUCUUCUCUUUCUCUUUUUGAUUUUUCUGUUUUGAUUUAGAUCUGGAUAUUAUUUUGUCAUUCUUUUGUGAUUAUUAUUUGUAAAUAUUGUUAACGUUUAUUGGGUAUGUAUAUAUAAUGCGUUUGGAAAGGGGUUAAAUCUACUUUUCCCCACUCUACUCGACCUCGGUUUACAAAUGCAUCACUGGACUAAAAAAUUUUACGGUCAACUCAUUGAACUGUAUUUUUUUUUCAAAAAUUUUAAAAACCGUCUAUUCCGUUAAAAAUUUAGCAGAAAGUCUACAUGGCACCAAUUACGUGGAAUAUAAUAUCCACCUUAGAAAAAAAUAUAUAUAUUAAUAAUAAGAUCCACCUUAGAAAGUCUACAUGUCACCAAUUCCGUUUUCAAGCUUAGACUCUUCUCUUUUUUUUAAUAACAAAUAAUUAAAUAAAUUAAUAAUAAAAUAUAUUAAUUAAAUAAAACUUUUAAAUCAUAGAAGAUAGUAGAUAUCAUGCUCUACUUGACUCUUCUAAUAGAUUGCUUAUUCCGCUGCAAUUGUUGAUCUAAAACUUGUUGUCUAUUGUAUUCUAUCAGUUGUUAUACUGUUGAAGGCUAAGGAUAAUUUAUUCUGCAUUAUCUUAGUCAUAAUAUUUCUUACUGGGCUAGUUGAGCUCACCCUUUUCUUUCACUGUUCUCUACAGAAAAUGAGAAUAUAGCUGGGACUAGUCGGGGAAUGGAUUGACGGUCCAGAUGGUUGUUUUAGUAGUCCUUACUAUUCUAUGAAAUAGUGUGAUAAUAAUUGUAAUUAGAUGAAUUUGAGUUUGGAUAGACAAUAUCCGUGUUAAAACUCUCAGCUAUGUUUUAUCGUAUUUUACACGAUAAUUGUAUAAUUAAGUUAUAGUUUUAUUAUGUACCAUGUAUUUGGCGACUCAGAAUGGGUGAUGUAUACCUAUUUUGAGGGUGUCACAGUUGGUAUCAAAGCUUUGGGAUAUGAUCCAUGGCUAAGAUGUGAGGCUAAAACUAGAAGUGGAUAGACGAGUAAAUACUUCGCUAGUAUGACCUACUUAAGCUUAUUUGUUAUUUAAUGUUGAGAUAAGCAAUGGAGCACAUGACACCGUUGAGUCACCGACGAUCAAUAACCAGAAUAAUGUGCAUCAGAAAGGCAAUAAUCCUCUUGUAAAUAACAACACCGACGAAAUGGCGAACGAUGGUACGUUUAAGAGUUUUCUGGAAUUUAUGCAAAAUCAGACGAGAGAGACUUUUGUUCAAAAUGCAG
RNAcentral lists this long non-coding RNA (1467 nucleotides) under Panax ginseng (ginseng). Its description in RNAcentral is "long non-coding RNA (PGIN_LNC011365)". Lineage: Eukaryota; Viridiplantae; Streptophyta; Magnoliopsida; Apiales; Araliaceae. The record is from RNAcentral.